GCUAAGCCUGAGUACAAGCGACUCCUUCUAAACCCCACUUGUGGAAUUACGUAGGGUGUACCUAGUCAAUUCGAGAGAAUUGCACAAGUGAAACCAUCGCUCACAAGUUUGAUAAUGGCAUCUCGAAACCUAUAAUAAUCCUCGAUGGUAUUGUAAACUUGAUGGGAGAUCCUAGCAUAACCUGUUACCGGAUUUACCUCUCCUUCCAAUGGUGCCCUGAAAUAUAUCGGAACCUCAACCUUGAACGAAACUCUCAAAUGAGUCCUCAACUUCAA
Molecule: unclassified non-coding RNA, 275 nt
Filed under: Hevea brasiliensis (rubber tree)
Lineage: Eukaryota; Viridiplantae; Streptophyta; Magnoliopsida; Malpighiales; Euphorbiaceae
Source: RNAcentral